This 253-nucleotide ribosomal RNA is filed under the name uncultured bacterium. RNAcentral describes it as "partial 16S ribosomal RNA". It matches the Rfam family "Bacterial small subunit ribosomal RNA", at positions 524 to 776 of the family's 1533-position model. The record is from RNAcentral.
UACGUAGGGUGCGAGCGUUAAUCGGAAUUACUGGGCGUAAAGUGUGCGCAGGCGGCAGAGCAAGUCGAGUGUGAAAGCCCCGGGCUUAACUUGGGAAUUGCGCUCGAAACUACUUUGCUGGAGUGUGGCAGAGGAAGGUGGAAUUCCACGUGUAGCGGUGAAAUGCGUAGAGAUGUGGAGGAACACCGGUGGCGAAGGCGCCACUCUGGGCCGAAACUGACGCUGAGGAGCGAAAGCGUGGGUAGCAAACAGG